GUCACCAGGGAAAUACAGUAUGGCUGUCUCCUUGUCGAGCUUUACCGUCUUCUUCCAAAACGAAGGCAGAAGUAUCAAAAGAGGUGAAAACCAUUAUGAAUCGGGUCAUGUCGAGAGCUGCAGCUACUCGAAGGAAAUGGAGGGAAAAUGUGGUGACGUCAGGUAAGCGACUUGGACAGGCAGUCCGUCUAAUUACGUAUUUUCCCGAAGAAUUUUACUUAACUAUCUUGCGGCAAACUGUGACAUUCAUAUUGACAUGUAAAAUAAUU
Long non-coding RNA from Sander lucioperca (pikeperch), 269 nucleotides. RefSeq lists it as uncharacterized. NCBI's taxonomy places the organism in Eukaryota, Metazoa, Chordata, Actinopteri, Perciformes, Percidae. The record is from RefSeq and is a predicted model, not a curated record. The transcript has 3 exons.